AAAGGUAGACACAGAAAAUACCAUUAAUACCCAUUUACCUGUGUGCAUGUUUACAUAACUUUGUAUGGCACACUAACAUAUAUACAACACACUGGAACUCAAAAUAGGAAUGGAGUAAACAUGAAGAUCCUGAUGGGUGUUCAGUAGUUGUCUCAAUGCAUGAAAAUCACAUUGCAAAACAUUCAGUUCAGAAGCGGCACUCUAAGAAUUGCAGGCCCCCUUCCAAAUAAUGUACUGUAGCUUACUGAUUACUUUUUUCUGUGACUAUGCAUUUUCUUAACUCCAAGAUAGUUCACAGAAGUUUCUGUAUUUCUCAUGUGAUUCCAUAUUGUCUGACAUCAUGAAAUAUAUACCUUAAUAAGUCAUCGUCACCUUCUCAUGUUUUCACACACUAUGUUUUCAGGAAAGUGGUCUCUCUAGUAUGAUUUUGCAGAGACAAAUAAUUUUAUUUUGAUAUACAAUUAUAAAAUAAUUCUGUGGGGCCAGGAGUUUGUCAAGAAUAAGCACAUAACUUGAUUCUUUUAUCUGAAUUCUAUUGCAUCCUUUGAUUUAUACAUUCUUAUAAGGCUUGUAGAAUUAUUUUACAUGUAAUAAUGCCCAUUUGCAAUUCUCAGUCAUAACUUUCUUCAGUUAUCACUGGUGCUUAAAAAUUCUCCUUUGACGUUGGAAAAAAACCUGAUUGUCCUCAACUCAUGAUUGCUUUUCCCAGGCUGGAUUCACAGUGAUGUCAUCCUACUUUUUCUAUCCCUAAUAUUGUUCUUUCCUUCCUUUUAGUGAUGUGUUUUGGGGUUGCCUAGGCCACCUGACUGAGGGUACAGCAGGGAAUGAAAUAGUAGACAAAGAAUAAAGAACAAAUUACUGUUUAUUAUGAGGGGGCCAGGAUUUCACCCUCACUCUUCCUGGCUAAGACCAUGAGCUUCAGACUUGUCAGCAUUUAUUGAUCCCACAACAUAGCAGGGGAAACAAAGGCAGAUGUAGGGAAGAGUAGGACUAAGGCACUGAUGAGCUAGGCUUAGAAAAGGGAGGAAGGAUGCAACCUUGUGAAGGACAGGUCAUAGUUAACAAGCCACCUGCCUUAUCUUUAGCUAAUGUUUGAUCUAGGACAGUAGCCGCAUGGUCAUAAUUCCCCAGCUGCCAUGUCAUCUUGCUUUUAGAGACUUCAGAGUAUCAUCGAUUAUUGAGAUCUCAAUUGUGACUGUUGGCACAGGGAAUUCUUUUUCCAUAUGCCAGCUGAAGUCUCAUCUAGCAAGUCAUGCAUAGGCAUAGGACAGACUCAUAACUUAAUCAGUAGCCAAAUUAUAAGCCAAUUCAGUAAUAUUAAAACCUUGCUCAGCGCGGUUUCAAGCUGGUCCCUGCACAUGUGAAAUCCUCUUGCAAAUUGCUCAUUUUCUACCUCCACCUCCCUAAACUUAGAUAACUAUUUCAAUACUUUUAAGAUCCAACUGAAUAGUGAUGUAUUGGGCGCCAUCAACGUGAUGCAGGCCACACGGUUAUCUCAGAAGUGUGAUGUUGGACAAUCAUGCAUUUCUGAGGAGCCACAACCGAGGUGAGAUUAGCCUUAACUCAAGAUUUCCUUAAGAAGAACACGCAUCACCCUGUCUCAGACUCUGCCAUGACCAAUUUGGGUCCACGCCACCUGCUCUGAAGCACAACAAAAAAUACCCGUCUCUCCUUUGUGGAAAGGAUGAAGAAAGCCUCUCAGGACUUGCCUGUUUUCCUUCCUUCUAAAACUUAACCGAUUCUUCAUCGAGCCAUUCUACAUCUGAAAAUGGGCUCAGAGGUGGCAGUGAGUAAGACAGCUUGAUUUUAGGGUCAACAUCUACAAUGCCCUCCACGAAACUGACAAGAUGCCUCCAAACCAAUCCAGUGUCAUAUUCUGCCCCUUUCUGUUCUGGCUCCUGCUGGCACAUGUGAAAUAAUUAUCGCUGCUCAUUUGCACUGAGAUCUCUGUCCUACUUUAUCAGAGCCAGCACAGCCCAGCAGGUCACACCCUUAUUCUAGCAUAGCUACUGCUUUGAAAUUCAAGAUUCGUUUGCUUGCAUGGGAAAGGAUUCUUCAGUGUGCUCCAUCACAGCAACAGUGGUACCUCUUACGAGCCUAGGCCAAGGAAGGCCACUGUUGAAGGCCGGGAGAGUUCGAGGGCAUCAGCAGAGCCAAGCUUCUCAGAUUUGUUCAUCCAGAUGUGUGCGAAACAUGUGCAAGAAGAUGAUGUCCUUGUGUACUGCCCUGGACCACAGCUAGGAAACUUCAGUCCAAACUAAAUUUCCAGAGAAAAUAUAUGUAUAUACCUCAGCUGUGAGUUUACUUCUUUUUAAGUUUAAAUUAUGUUGGGUAAUAUAUAAAAGCAUAAGAAUUGUACAUAUUUAUAGGGUACUAGGCAAUGAUUUCAUAUAUACCAAUACCUCUCCACACAUUCCCAGUGCAGCUCUAAGCUA
Long non-coding RNA from Heterocephalus glaber (naked mole-rat), 2435 nucleotides. RefSeq lists it as uncharacterized. The record is from RefSeq and is a predicted model, not a curated record. Lineage: Eukaryota; Metazoa; Chordata; Mammalia; Rodentia; Bathyergidae.